GGGUUGUGAGGUUAAGCGACUAAGCGUACACGGUGGAUGCCCUGGCAGUCAGAGGCGAUGAAGGACGUGCUAAUCUGCGAAAAGCGUCGGUAAGGUGAUAUGAACCGUUAUAACCGGCGAUGUCCGAAUGGGGAAACCCAGUGCAAUUCGUUGCACUAUCGUUAACUGAAUACAUAGGUUAACGAGGCGAACCGGGGGAACUGAAACAUCUAAGUACCCCGAGGAAAAGAAAUCAACCGAGAUUCCCCCAGUAGCGGCGAGCGAACGGGGAGCAGCCCAGAGUCUGAAUCAGCUUGUGUGUUAGUGGAACGGUCUGGAAAGUCCGACGGUACAGGGUGAUAGUCCCGUACACCAAAAUGCACAGGCUGUGAACUCGAAGAGUAGGGCGGGACACGUGGUAUCCUGUCUGAAUAUGGGGGGACCAUCCUCCAAGGCUAAAUACUCCUGACUGACCGAUAGUGAACCAGUACCGUGAGGGAAAGGCGAAAAGAACCCCGGCGAGGGGAGUGAAAAAGAACCUGAAACCGUGUACGUACAAGCAGUGGGAGCACCUUCGGGUGUGACUGCGUACCUUUUGUAUAAUGGGUCAGCGACUUAUAUUCUGUAGCAAGGUUAACCGUAUAGGGGAGCCGCAGGGAAACCGAGUCUUAACUGGGCGUUAAGUUGCAGGGUAUAGACCCGAAACCCGGUGAUCUAGCCAUGGGCAGGUUGAAGGUUGGGUAACACUAACUGGAGGACCGAACCGACUAAUGUUGAAAAAUUAGCGGAUGACUUGUGGCUGGGGGUGAAAGGCCAAUCAAACCGGGAGAUAGCUGGUUCUCCCCGAAAGCUAUUUAGGUAGCGCCUCGUGAAUUCAUCUUCGGGGGUAGAGCACUGUUUCGGCUAGGGGGUCAUCCCGACUUACCAACCCGAUGCAAACUACGAAUACCGAAGAAUGUUAUCACGGGAGACACACGGCGGGUGCUAACGUCCGUCGUGAAGAGGGAAACAACCCAGACCGCCAGCUAAGGUCCCAAAGUCAUGGUUAAGUGGGAAACGAUGUGGGAAGGCACAGACAGCCAGGAUGUUGGCUUAGAAGCAGCCAUCAUUUAAAGAAAGCGUAAUAGCUCACUGGUCGAGUCGGCCUGCGCGGAAGAUGUAACGGGGCUAAACCAUGCACCGAAGCUGCGGCAGCGACACUAUGUGUUGUUGGGUAGGGGAGCGUUCUGUAAGCCUGCGAAGGUGACCUGUGAGGGUUGCUGGAGGUAUCAGAAGUGCGAAUGCUGACAUAAGUAACGAUAAAGCGGGUGAAAAGCCCGCUCGCCGGAAGACCAAGGGUUCCUGUCCAACGUUAAUCGGGGCAGGGUGAGUCGACCCCUAAGGCGAGGCCGAAAGGCGUAGUCGAUGGGAAACAGGUUAAUAUUCCUGUACUUGGUGUUACUGCGAAGGGGGGACGGAGAAGGCUAUGUUAGCCGGGCGACGGUUGUCCCGGUUUAAGCAUGUAGGCUGGUUAUCCAGGCAAAUCCGGAUAAUCAAGGCUGAGGUGUGAUGACGAGGCACUACGGUGCUGAAGUAACAAAUGCCCUGCUUCCAGGAAAAGCCUCUAAGCAUCAGGUAACAUUAAAUCGUACCCCAAACCGACACAGGUGGUCAGGUAGAGAAUACCAAGGCGCUUGAGAGAACUCGGGUGAAGGAACUAGGCAAAAUGGUGCCGUAACUUCGGGAGAAGGCACGCUGGUGUGUAGGUGAAGUCCCUGCGGAUGGAGCUGAGACCAGUCGAAGAUACCAGCUGGCUGCAACUGUUUAUUAAAAACACAGCACUGUGCAAACACGAAAGUGGACGUAUACGGUGUGACGCCUGCCCGGUGCCGGAAGGUUAAUUGAUGGGGUUAUCCGUAAGGAGAAGCUCUUGAUCGAAGCCCCGGUAAACGGCGGCCGUAACUAUAACGGUCCUAAGGUAGCGAAAUUCCUUGUCGGGUAAGUUCCGACCUGCACGAAUGGCGUAAUGAUGGCCAGGCUGUCUCCACCCGAGACUCAGUGAAAUUGAACUCGCUGUGAAGAUGCAGUGUACCCGCGGCAAGACGGAAAGACCCCGUGAACCUUUACUAUAGCUUGACACUGAACAUUGAGCCUUGAUGUGUAGGAUAGGUGGGAGGCUUUGAAGCGUGGACGCCAGUCUGCGUGGAGCCAACCUUGAAAUACCACCCUUUAAUGUUUGAUGUUCUAACGUUGGCCCCUUACCGGGGUUGCGGACAGUGUCUGGUGGGUAGUUUGACUGGGGCGGUCUCCUCCCAAAGCGUAACGGAGGAGCACGAAGGUUAGCUAAUCCUGGUCGGACAUCAGGAGGUUAGUGCAAUGGCAUAAGCUAGCUUGACUGCGAGCGUGACGGCGCGAGCAGGUGCGAAAGCAGGUCAUAGUGAUCCGGUGGUUCUGAAUGGAAGGGCCAUCGCUCAACGGAUAAAAGGUACUCCGGGGAUAACAGGCUGAUACCGCCCAAGAGUUCAUAUCGACGGCGGUGUUUGGCACCUCGAUGUCGGCUCAUCACAUCCUGGGGCUGAAGUAGGUCCCAAGGGUAUGGCUGUUCGCCAUUUAAAGUGGUACGCGAGCUGGGUUUAGAACGUCGUGAGACAGUUCGGUCCCUAUCUGCCGUGGGCGCUGGAGAAUUGAGGGGGGCUGCUCCUAGUACGAGAGGACCGGAGUGGACGCAUCACUGGUGUUCGGGUUGUCAUGCCAAUGGCACUGCCCGGUAGCUAAAUGCGGAAGAGAUAAGUGCUGAAAGCAUCUAAGCACGAAACUUGCCCCGAGAUGAGUUCUCCCUGAGACUUUAAGUCUCCUGAAGGAACGUUAAAGACGAUGACGUUGAUAGGCCGGGUGUGUAAGCGCAGCGAUGCGUUGAGCUAACCGGUACUAAUGAACCGUGAGGCUUAACCUUACAACGCCGAAG
RNAcentral lists this ribosomal RNA (2923 nucleotides) under Klebsiella pneumoniae. RNAcentral's name for it is "23S ribosomal RNA". It matches the Rfam family "Bacterial large subunit ribosomal RNA". Lineage: Bacteria; Pseudomonadati; Pseudomonadota; Gammaproteobacteria; Enterobacterales; Enterobacteriaceae. The record is from RNAcentral.